Molecule: non-coding RNA, 333 nt
Organism: Podarcis muralis (Common wall lizard)
Lineage: Eukaryota; Metazoa; Chordata; Lepidosauria; Squamata; Lacertidae
Source: RefSeq, a predicted model, not a curated record
GCAGAAAAACACAGACGCUAUCAGGAAGAUGACGAUGAUGGAUUCUUUGGACCUGCUCUUCCUCCUGGCUUUAAAAAACCAGAUGAAUCCCCAGAAAGGCCUGUUCUAGGUCCUGCCUUACCACCUGGCUUAAGAAACCAUCAGAAGCUGCUGAAGAAAACAUAUAUUAUGCAACCCAGACUACGGAUAGCAGCGAAGAGGAGGAAGACUUGAUUGGCCCAAUGCCUGCCAAAGGACCAGUAGAAUCCAGCACAACUAGAGAGAUUGAAUGUCGAGCCCAGAGAAUGAAAGAUAAACUUCUCGGUAAAGAUGUGAGUUUAAUUCCUGAUUGUU